CCAAUUCUAUGAUUUUUAAGGGUUUUUAUGACUGGGUUUUUUUAUACUCUAUCUUUUGGGUGAGAGCACCAUUUUGAACUAGAAAGACUUAAGUACUUUAGCAAGCUUUAGCUGAUCUAAUCUCGACGAAAAUUGCAUUUAGCACCACAUUUAGUGGCAGAUAGCAUUUCUGCACUUAACAGCAUAUGCUGGAUAUCAAGAGGUUCUGUGCAUUAAAAUUUUGUCACCGUGUGCCCUUGUCAGAAGACUACACUUCUUGGCCACACAACAUCUUGACGGCCAACAAAUACACCGUUAUCAAACUUCCGAAACUCUUACCUUAGUAUAUGGUUACGAAGUACCCUUCCAGCCCUAGCUAUCCAGUACCCCGGCAGUCGUACCUACCAGACAGGUCCAGACAUCCACCAGGCAGUUCAGUUGUUACAUCGUGGGCACAUCACACAUAGUUACUUGUCCGAGUAACUAUACAGGCAAUUUAGAUAUAGUAUUAUUCCCCAUUGCUUUGCUGUAGUCUUGUUGCCGUGCACUGCCCUCAUAGCUAGUUUCACUGCAUGGCUUACUACCAAUGUUUUAGUUUAGGUAAUAGCAUUAUAGCAUUAACGCAUGAUCGCUCUGAGGCACUACCCUAUGCUUGUGGCUAGUUUCCAGAAUAAGUAAAAUAAUUUACCCAGCUACCCUGCUGUCGUGGCUAGACCUAAAA
This is a long non-coding RNA of Anoplophora glabripennis (Asian longhorned beetle), 700 nucleotides long. RefSeq lists it as uncharacterized. The record is from RefSeq and is a predicted model, not a curated record. The transcript is spliced from 2 exons. Lineage: Eukaryota; Metazoa; Arthropoda; Insecta; Coleoptera; Cerambycidae.